This 253-nucleotide ribosomal RNA is filed under the name [Ruminococcus] torques ATCC 27756. RNAcentral describes it as "partial 16S ribosomal RNA". It matches the Rfam family "Bacterial small subunit ribosomal RNA", at positions 524 to 776 of the family's 1533-position model. Lineage: Bacteria; Bacillati; Bacillota; Clostridia; Lachnospirales; Lachnospiraceae. The record is from RNAcentral.
UACGUAUGGUGCAAGCGUUAUCCGGAUUUACUGGGUGUAAAGGGAGCGUAGACGGAUGGGCAAGUCUGAUGUGAAAACCCGGGGCUCAACCCCGGGACUGCAUUGGAAACUGUUCAUCUAGAGUGCUGGAGAGGUAAGUGGAAUUCCUAGCGUAGCGGUGAAAUGCGUAGAUAUUACGAAGAACUCCGAUUGCGAAGGCAGCCUGCUAAGCUGCAACUGACAUUGAGGCUCGAAAGUGUGGGUAUCAAACAGG